Molecule: ribosomal RNA, 482 nt
Filed under: uncultured bacterium
Lineage: Bacteria
Description: partial 16S ribosomal RNA
Rfam family: Bacterial small subunit ribosomal RNA
Source: RNAcentral
AUUGAACGCUGGCGGCAUGCCUUACACAUGCAAGUCGAACGGUAACGGGCCUUCGGGUGCCGACGAGUGGCGAACGGGUGCGUAAUACAUCGGAACGUGCCCGAUCGUGGGGGAUAACGAGGCGAAAGCCUUGCUAAUACCGCAUACGAUCUACGGAUGAAAGCAGGGGACCGCAAGGCCUUGCGCGGACGGAGCGGCCGAUGGCAGAUUAGGUAGUUGGUGGGAUAAAAGCUUACCAAGCCGACGAUCUGUAGCUGGUCUGAGAGGAUGAUCAGCCACACUGGGACUGAGACACGGCCCAGACUCCUACGGGAGGCAGCAGUGGGGAAUUUUGGACAAUGGGCGCAAGCCUGAUCCAGCCAUGCCGCGUGCAGGAUGAAGGCCUUCGGGUUGUAAACUGCUUUUGUACGGAACGAAAAGCCUUCUUUUAAUACAGGAGGGUCAUGACGGUACCGGAAGAAUAAGCACCGGCUAACUACGUG